GGAAGCGUCGCCUAAUUGGUAUGGCUCUGCUCCGCUAAGGCAGCGGGUGAAAACCUGUGUGAGUUCGAGUCUCACCGCUUCCGCCA
This 86-nucleotide transfer RNA is filed under the name Acidobacteriota bacterium. RNAcentral describes it as "Acidobacteria bacterium (soil metagenome) tRNA-Ser". It matches the Rfam family "tRNA". Rfam says of the family: Transfer RNA (tRNA) molecules are approximately 80 nucleotides in length. Their secondary structure includes four short double-helical elements and three loops (D, anti-codon, and T loops). The record is from RNAcentral. Lineage: Bacteria; Pseudomonadati; Acidobacteriota.